This 301-nucleotide ribosomal RNA is filed under the name uncultured bacterium. RNAcentral describes it as "partial 16S ribosomal RNA". It matches the Rfam family "Bacterial small subunit ribosomal RNA", at positions 509 to 808 of the family's 1533-position model. The record is from RNAcentral.
CAGUCGCCGCGGUAAAACGUAUGUCACAAGCGUUAUCCGGAUUUAUUGGGCGUAAAGCGCGUCUAGGCGGUUAAUUAAGUCUGAUGUGAAAAUGCGGAGCUCAACUCCGUAUUGCGUUGGAAACUGGUUAACUAGAGUACUGGAGAGGUAAGCGGAACUACAAGUGUAGAGGUGAAAUUCGUAGAUAUUUGUAGGAAUGCCGAUGGGGAAGCCAGCUUACUGGACAGAUACUGACGCUAAAGCGCGAAAGCGUAGGUAGCAAACAGGAUUAGAUACCCCAGUAGUCCCUGUCUCUUAUACA